Triticum urartu is the source of this 137-nucleotide non-coding RNA. NCBI's taxonomy places the organism in Eukaryota, Viridiplantae, Streptophyta, Magnoliopsida, Poales, Poaceae. The record is from Rfam.
UUUAUAGUUUCUUCGUCUGAAAAUACUUGUCAUCAAAAUGAAUAAAAAAAAAUAUAUCUAGAAAUAAAAUACAUCUAGAUACAUUUUUUUUAAAAUCCAUUUUAAUGACAAGUAUUUCCAGACAGAGGGAGUACUCC